GACGAACGCUGGCGGCGUGCUUAACACAUGCAAGUCGAACGGAAAGGCCCUGCUUUUGUGGGGUGCUCGAGUGGCGAACGGGUGAGUAACACGUGAGUAACCUGCCCUUGACUUUGGGAUAACUUCAGGAAACUGGGGCUAAUACCGGAUAGGAGCUCCUGCUGCAUGGUGGGGGUUGGAAAGUUUCGGCGGUUGGGGAUGGACUCGCGGCUUAUCCGCUUGUUGGUGGGGUAGUGGCUUACCAAGGCUUUGACGGGUAGCCGGCCUGAGAGGGUGACCGGCCACAUGGGGACUGAGAGACGGCCCAGACUCCUACGGGAGGCAGCAGUGGGGAAUAUUGCACAAUGGGCGGAAGCCUGAUGCAGCAACGCCGCGUGCGGGAUGACGGCCUUCGGGUUGUAAACCACUUUCGCCUGUGACGAAGCGUGAGUGGCGGUAAUGGGUAAAGAAGCACCGGCUAACUACGUG
RNAcentral lists this ribosomal RNA (468 nucleotides) under uncultured bacterium. RNAcentral describes it as "partial 16S ribosomal RNA". It matches the Rfam family "Bacterial small subunit ribosomal RNA", at positions 28 to 507 of the family's 1533-position model. The record is from RNAcentral.